AGCCGAAGGGAAACCGAGUCUUAAUUGGGCGUUAAGUUGCAGGGUAUAGACCCGAAACCCGGUGAUCUAGCCAUGGGCAGGUUGAAGGUUGGGUAACACUAACUGGAGGACCGAACCGACUAAUGUUGAAAAAUUAGCGGAUGACCUGUGGCUGGGGGUGAAAGGCCAAUCAAACCGGGAGAUAGCUGGUUCUCCCCGAAAGCUAUUUAGGUAGCGCCUCGUGAACUCAUCUCCGGGGGUAGAGCACUGUUUCGGCUAGGGGGCCAUCCCGGCUUACCAACCCGAUGCAAACUGCGAAUACCGGAGAAUGUUAUCACGGGAGACACACGGCGGGUGCUAACGUCCGUCGUGAAGAGGGAAACAACCCAGACCGCCAGCUAAGGUCCCAAAGUCAUGGUUAAGUGGGAAACGAUGUGGGAAGGCCCAGACAGCCAGGAUGUUGGCUUAGAAGCAGCCAUCAUUUAAAGAAAGCGUAAUAGCUCACUGGUCGAGUCGGCCUGCGCGGAAGAUGUAACGGGGCUAAACCAUGCACCGAAGCUGCGGCAGCGACACUUUAGUGUUGUUGGGUAGGGGAGCGUUCUGUAAGCCGUUGAAGGUGUCCUGUGAGGGGUGCUGGAGGUAUCAGAAGUGCGAAUGCUGACAUAAGUAACGAUAAAGCGGGUGAAAAGCCCGCUCGCCGGAAGACCAAGGGUUCCUGUCCAACGUUAAUCGGGGCAGGGUGAGUCGACCCCUAAGGCGAGGCCGAAAGGCGUAGUCGAUGGGAAACGGGUUAAUAUUCCCGUACUUGGUGUUACUGCGAAGGGGGGACGGAGAAGGCUAUGUUGGCCGGGCGACGGUAGUCCCGGUUUAAGCGUGUAGGUGUGUGUUCCAGGUAAAUCCGGUUCACUUUAACACUGAGGCGUGAUGACGAGGCACCACGGUGCUGAAGCAACAAAUGCCCUGCUUCCAGGAAAAGCCUCUAAGCAUCAGGUAACAUCAAAUCGUACCCCAAACCGACACAGGUGGUCAGGUAGAGAAUACCAAGGCGCUUGAGAGAACUCGGGUGAAGGAACUAGGCAAAAUGGUGCCGUAACUUCGGGAGAAGGCACGCUGACACGUAGGUGAAGUGAUUUACUCACGGAGCUGAAGUCAGUCGAAGAUACCAGCUGGCUGCAACUGUUUAUUAAAAACACAGCACUGUGCAAACACGAAAGUGGACGUAUACGGUGUGACGCCUGCCCGGUGCCGGAAGGUUAAUUGAUGGGGUCAGCGCAAGCGAAGCUCCUGAUCGAAGCCCCGGUAAACGGCGGCCGUAACUAUAACGGUCCUAAGGUAGCGAAAUUCCUUGUCGGGUAAGUUCCGACCUGCACGAAUGGCGUAAUGAUGGCCAGGCUGUCUCCACCCGAGACUCAGUGAAAUUGAACUCGCUGUGAAGAUGCAGUGUACCCGCGGCAAGACGGAAAGACCCCGUGAACCUUUACUAUAGCUUGACACUGAACAUUGAGCCUUGAUGUGUAGGAUAGGUGGGAGGCUUUGAAGCGUGGACGCCAGUCUGCGUGGAGCCGACCUUGAAAUACCACCCUUUAAUGUUUGAUGUUCUAACGUGGACCCGUAAUCCGGGUUGCGGACAGUGUCUGGUGGGUAGUUUGACUGGGGCGGUCUCCUCCUAAAGAGUAACGGAGGAGCACGAAGGUUGGCUAAUCCUGGUCGGACAUCAGGAGGUUAGUGCAAUGGCAUAAGCCAGCUUGACUGCGAGCGUGACGGCGCGAGCAGGUGCGAAAGCAGGUCAUAGUGAUCCGGUGGUUCUGAAUGGAAGGGCCAUCGCUCAACGGAUAAAAGGUACUCCGGGGAUAACAGGCUGAUACCGCCCAAGAGUUCAUAUCGACGGCGGUGUUUGGCACCUCGAUGUCGGCUCAUCACAUCCUGGGGCUGAAGUAGGUCCCAAGGGUAUGGCUGUUCGCCAUUUAAAGUGGUACGCGAGCUGGGUUUAGAACGUCGUGAGACAGUUCGGUCCCUAUCUGCCGUGGGCGCUGGAAGACUGAGGGGGGCUGCUCCUAGUACGAGAGGACCGGAGUGGACGCAUCACUGGUGUUCGGGUUGUCAUGCCAAUGGCACUGCCCGGUAGCUAAAUGCGGAAAAGAUAAGUGCUGAAAGCAUCUAAGCACGAAACUUGCCCCGAGAUGAGUCUUCCCUGAGACUUUGAGUCUCCUGAAGGAACGUUAAAGACGAUGACGUUGAUAGGCCGGGUGUGUAAGCGCAGCGAUGCGUUGAGCUAACCGGUACUAAUGAACCGUGAGGCUUAACCUUACAACGCCGA
This 2296-nucleotide ribosomal RNA is filed under the name Salmonella enterica subsp. diarizonae. RNAcentral's name for it is "partial 23S ribosomal RNA". It matches the Rfam family "Bacterial large subunit ribosomal RNA", at positions 664 to 2925 of the family's 2925-position model. The record is from RNAcentral. Lineage: Bacteria; Pseudomonadati; Pseudomonadota; Gammaproteobacteria; Enterobacterales; Enterobacteriaceae.